ACCUCGGAUCAGGUAGGGAUACCCGCUGAACUUAAGCAUAUCAAUAAGCGGAGGAAANGAAACCAACAGGGAUUGCCUCAGUAACGGCGAGUGAAGCGGCAAGAGCUCAAAUUUGAAAGCUGGCUCCUUCGGGGCCCGCGUUGUAAUUUGUAGAGGAUGCUUCGGGUGUGGCGCCGGUCUAAGUUCUUUGGAACAAGACGUCAUAGAGGGUGAGAAUCCCGUAUGUGACUGGUUGCCUACGCUCAUGUGAAGCUCCUUCGACGAGUCGAGUUGUUUGGGAAUGCAGCUCAAAAUGGGAGGUGUAUUUCUUCUAAAGCUAAAUACUGGCCAGAGACCGAUAGCGCACAAGUAGAGUGAUCGAAAGAUGAAAAGCACUUUGGAAAGAGAGUUAAACAGUACGUGAAAUUGUUGAAAGGGAAGCGCUUGCAAUCAGACUUG
This 438-nucleotide ribosomal RNA is filed under the name Lophodermium sp. 'montoco5 Chiapas'. Its description in RNAcentral is "eukaryotic LSU rRNA". It matches the Rfam family "Eukaryotic large subunit ribosomal RNA", at positions 1 to 437 of the family's 3401-position model. Lineage: Eukaryota; Fungi; Ascomycota; Leotiomycetes; Rhytismatales; Rhytismataceae. The record is from RNAcentral.